UUUCCGUGAGAGUGUGACAAAGAGAAUAGAAGGAGAAUAAGUUUCCUUACUUGAUUUGUUACACAUGACAGGGUAUUUAAAGACAUACAAGAAUGCAUAAACAAUGAGAAGAUAGUACAAGGGAAAGAAUAAACAAAGAGGAGGCAGAUCCGCGGAUGGCUCGUUCAGCAAGAGGGAUAGUGACAGCUCCCAACGGUCAGCUCCCUCUCUCUUCUCUUAGACACACCCGUUGUUGAACUGAAGAGAAGAAUGGAGCUUGUACAUAUAGGGGCAAGCUCUUGAAGAUCUUAAGAAGAGUUCUAUGAAGCUUCAGAAGUGAUGAGAAGCUGAUACAAGAUUGGGGCAAUGUCCAAGAAGGGUUCUAAUCAGACAUGGGAGAACAUUGGAGGAGUUUAGGCUGCAAUGGUUAAUGAGAAAGUUAGGGCGAUCCGUACGGACGGCCGUACGGACUGUACGGACCGUACGGACCAGGGCGUCCCAAAACUUAUCAUCUCGACCACUUAAGCAUAGUUGAGGAAUGUGCAAGCUUAGGGCACAAUGUGUACGGCCAGGAAGUCCGUACAGCAUGGUCUGGUCAUGACUUGGGUCACAAGGCAUGGAGAAACUCAUUUGGACCUUAUACAUGAAGAAGGGAUCAAAAUGGCAUCUUGGAUGGCCUUGGAAAGGAUCAGGCAAGAUGCUGUCCGUGUAUGGAUAAGGUCUUCACUCCUAUUGGCUUAUUCAGUCCACAAGACAGCUCAUGACAGCCUGUGUAAAGACCAGGAACGCCCAAGCUUCCUAUUGGCCAAGCAUGUGAAGCUUAUGGUCCAUAGAAUUCAAAAUAAGGCUCCUCCUUGUUUGACUUCACAUGUGUGAUGUAUCUGACUGUAAACCCUAGUAGAAAACAGUCUGUCCUAUUUAAAUAAGAGGCAGAGACGAUUUGUAAGCUCUAAGUGAGUAAGGGGGUUUCCCUUCUCCUUCCCUAAUCUUCAGUCUCUUAUUCUCUCAGUCUCUCUCUAGUCUCUCAGUCUCUUAAUCUCAUUCUCUUUAGUCUCUUAAACACUUAAACACUCUCACCCAUCUCUGUUCUUAAAUCACCUAGAACUAAGCUCUCAUCUUUCUCCAUUGGAGUUUAUACACACAUACACACAACCAGAGUAGAGAUCUCUUUAAAAAUCAUACC
RNAcentral lists this long non-coding RNA (1162 nucleotides) under Brassica napus (rape). RNAcentral describes it as "long non-coding RNA (BNAP_LNC023160)". The record is from RNAcentral. Lineage: Eukaryota; Viridiplantae; Streptophyta; Magnoliopsida; Brassicales; Brassicaceae.